RNAcentral lists this ribosomal RNA (253 nucleotides) under uncultured bacterium. RNAcentral describes it as "partial 16S ribosomal RNA". It matches the Rfam family "Bacterial small subunit ribosomal RNA", at positions 524 to 776 of the family's 1533-position model. The record is from RNAcentral.
GACGAACCGUGCAAACGUUAUUCGGAUUCACUGGGCUUAAAGGGCGCGUAGGCGGGUGGUCAAGUCAGGGGUGAAAUCUUUCAGCUUAACUGGAAUACAGCUUCUGAUACUGGCCAUCUUGAGGGAGGUAGGGGCAUGUGGAACUUCUGGUGGAGCGGUGAAAUGCGUUGAUAUCAGAAGGAACGCCGGUGGCGAAAGCGACGUGCUGGACCACAACUGACGCUGAGGAACGAAAGCUAGGGGAGCAAACAAG